This 445-nucleotide ribosomal RNA is filed under the name uncultured bacterium. RNAcentral's name for it is "partial 16S ribosomal RNA". It matches the Rfam family "Bacterial small subunit ribosomal RNA", at positions 354 to 796 of the family's 1533-position model. The record is from RNAcentral.
GUGAGGAAUAUUGGUCAAUGGACGAGAGUCUGAACCAGCCAAGUCGCGUGAAGGAAGACGGUUCUAUGAAUUGUAAACUUCUUUUGUGCAGGAAUAAAGUGGGUUACGUGUAACCUUUUGUAUGUACUGUACGAAUAAGGAUCGGCUAACUCCGUGCCAGCAGCCGCGGUAAUACGGAGGAUCCGAGCGUUAUCCGGAGUUAUUGGGUUUAAACGGUGCGUAGGUGGCUUGAUAAGUCAGCGGUGAAAGUUUGCAGCUUAACUGUAAAAUUGACGUUGAAACUGUCGGUCUUGAGUGCAAAUGAGGUAGGCGGAAUGUGUUGUGUAGCGGUGAAAUGCUUAGAUAUAACACAGAACUCCGAUUGCGAAGGCAGCUUACUGGGAUGCAACUGACACUGAUGCACGAAAGCGUGGGUAUCAAACAGGAUUAGAUACCCUGGUAGUCC